AGUGAACGUUGGCGGCGUGGAUUAGGCAUGCAAGUCGAGCGAGAACCGUAGCAAUACGGGGACAGCGGCGAAAGGGACAGUAAUGUGUAGGUACCUACGUCCGGGUUCGGGAUAGCUGCGGGAAACUGCAGGUAAUACCGAAUAACGUCUCCGGACCAAAGGUGUGAUUCCACCUGGAUAGGGGCCUGCAUCCUAUUAGCUUGUUGGCGGGGUAACGGCCCACCAAGGCGACGAUGGGUAGCGGGUGUGAGAGCACGACCCGCGUCAUUGGGACUGAGACACUGCCCAGACACCUACGGGUGGCUGCAGUCGUGAAUCUUCGGCAAUGGGCGCAAGCCUGACCGAGCGACGCCGCGUGCGGGAUGAAGGCCUUCGGGUUGUAAACCGCUGUCGUAGAGGAGGAAAUGCAGGGGGGUUCUCCCCUCUGUUUGACCUAUUCUAGGAGGAAGUACGGGCUAAGUUCGUGCCAGCAGCCGCCGUAA
RNAcentral lists this ribosomal RNA (482 nucleotides) under uncultured bacterium. Its description in RNAcentral is "partial 16S ribosomal RNA". It matches the Rfam family "Bacterial small subunit ribosomal RNA", at positions 28 to 523 of the family's 1533-position model. The record is from RNAcentral.